This 464-nucleotide ribosomal RNA is filed under the name uncultured bacterium. Its description in RNAcentral is "bacterial SSU rRNA". It matches the Rfam family "Bacterial small subunit ribosomal RNA", at positions 36 to 518 of the family's 1533-position model. The record is from RNAcentral.
CUGGCGGCGUGCUUCAUACAUGCAAGUCGAACGAGAAUCUGACUUCGGUCAGAGGAAAGUGGCGGAACGGGUGAGUAAAAUGUAGAGAAUCUGCCCUAGAGAGAGGGACAACAGUUGGAAACGACUGCUAAUACCUCAUAUGCGCGUAGCUGAGAUGCUAUUCGUGAAAAACUCCGGUGCUCUGGGAUGAGUCUGCAUCUGAUUAGCUAGUUGGCGGUGUAAUGGACCACCAAGGCGACGAUCAGUAGCUGGUUUGAGAGGAUGAUCAGCCACAAUGGGACUGAGACACGGCCCAUACUCCUACGGGAGGCAGCAGUAGGGAAUUUUGCGCAAUGGGGGAAACCCUGACGCAAGCAACGCCGCGUGAUUGAAUAAGCCCUUCGGGGUGUAAAGAUCUGUCAGUAGGGACGAAACUUGACGGUACCUACAGAGGAAGCAUCGGCUAACUCCGUGCCAGCCGCAGC